Aedes albopictus (Asian tiger mosquito) is the source of this 58-nucleotide non-coding RNA. The record is from Rfam. NCBI's taxonomy places the organism in Eukaryota, Metazoa, Arthropoda, Insecta, Diptera, Culicidae.
UAGCCUAGUGGUUAAGGCUAUGGAUCGCCAAUCCGGAGAUGGCGGGUUCGAUUCCUGU